GUGGAGCAUGUGGUUUAAUUCGAUGUAACGCGAAGAACCUUACCACUCCUUGACAUCCAGAGAAUUCGCUAGAGAUAGCUUAGUGCCUUCGGGAACUCUGAGACAGGUGCUGCAUGGCUGUCGUCAGCUCGUGUUGUGAAAUGUUGGGUUAAGUCCCGUAACGAGCGCAACCCUUGUCCUUAUUUGCCAGCACGUAAUGGCGGGAACUCUAAGGAGACUGCCGGUGAUAAACCGGAGGAAGGUGGGGACGACGUCAAGUCAUCAUGGCCCUUACGGGAUGGGCUACACACGUGCUACAAUGGCAGGUACAGAGGGCAGCAAUACCGCGAGGUGGAGCGAAUCCCACAAAGCUUGUCGUAGUCCGGAUUGGAGUCUGCAACUCGACUCCAUGAAGUCGGAAUCGCUAGUAAUCGUAGAUCAGAAUGCUACGGUGAAUACGUUCCCGGGCCUUGUACACACCGCCCGU
Molecule: ribosomal RNA, 466 nt
Filed under: uncultured Burkholderiales bacterium
Lineage: Bacteria; Pseudomonadati; Pseudomonadota; Betaproteobacteria; Burkholderiales
Description: bacterial SSU rRNA
Rfam family: Bacterial small subunit ribosomal RNA
Source: RNAcentral